GGGCCGUUAGCUCAGUUGGUAGAGCAGUUGACUCUUAAUCAAUAGGUCGUUGGUUCGAUCCCAACACGGCCCACCA
RNAcentral lists this transfer RNA (76 nucleotides) under Acinetobacter sp. RNAcentral's name for it is "tRNA-Lys". It matches the Rfam family "tRNA". Rfam says of the family: Transfer RNA (tRNA) molecules are approximately 80 nucleotides in length. The record is from RNAcentral. RNAcentral also lists the same sequence under 5 other names. Lineage: Bacteria; Pseudomonadati; Pseudomonadota; Gammaproteobacteria; Moraxellales; Moraxellaceae.